RNAcentral lists this long non-coding RNA (789 nucleotides) under Fukomys damarensis (Damara mole-rat). RNAcentral describes it as "lncRNA (ENSFDAG00000028368.1)". Lineage: Eukaryota; Metazoa; Chordata; Mammalia; Rodentia; Bathyergidae. The record is from RNAcentral.
GUGCCACCUGUUCACUCUGGUUGCUUGAUGCUAAUGAUCAUGAUGGGGUUGGCGGUGAUGAUGAUAAAAAUAAAAAUAAAAGAGUUGUGCUUAUUACAUGUCAGGCCCUGUUCCAAGCAUCUCACACAUAUAAACAACUCAUUUAAUCUUCGCAAGUCUAGUAGGUGAAGUACUAUUAUGACUUCCGUUUUCCACGUGGAGGUUUAGAGGUAGGGGAGCCUGUGCCCAGUGGUGCGCUGUCUAUCAAUUAGGGAACAGUCUAGUGACACAUAAAAAUGCGUUUAGUUACAGAAGGUGGGUGUAGAGAAGGCACUGGUAGAAUGAGGAGUGGGAAAACUUACCAUCCAUUGGCCUGAAUGGGUGAGUGGAUGGAGCAGGCCGCGGGAUGCCAGAGUGUAGUGUGAAGCCAGUUGUGCUCUGCACGGCAUGUGGAGCAGUGGUCUCCCAGGGACACUGUCAGUCCACAGCAGCCUUCGGAAAGUGGCCGAGGAAGUUAGCACCCAGCCCCGUCUGCCCCUCUGGACUCCAGAAGGACCCUUUGGUGGCAGACCUUGGAAGAACCUCAGGUGUCCCAAAGCCUGUGAUGUGAGUGACACAGCUGAGCACCAAAGCAGACAGUGGGCCCCGUGCAGCACAUACCAGAGGGCUGGAAGUUUGAUUUUGGACUUGGGAAGAGGAUCAAGAAUUGGAGGGGAGAGGAAGGGAAGAAAGAACUAAGAUGUGUUACAUGCAUGUACCACAAGAGUCGUAAACAUGUACUAAAACAUGCUCUAAUAAAAGUUAACACGG